Non-coding RNA from Dujonia railenensis, 72 nucleotides. The record is from the annotation of a GenBank genome assembly. NCBI's taxonomy places the organism in Eukaryota, Fungi, Ascomycota, Pichiomycetes, Serinales, Debaryomycetaceae.
UAGAUCAUAAUAUAAUGGUUAAUAUGUUACACUACGAAUGUUUUUAUAUAGGUUCGAAUCCUAUUGAUCUAU